This 375-nucleotide ribosomal RNA is filed under the name Enteropneusta sp. USNM IZ 1448816. RNAcentral describes it as "SSU rRNA". It matches the Rfam family "Eukaryotic small subunit ribosomal RNA", at positions 51 to 414 of the family's 1831-position model. The record is from RNAcentral. RNAcentral also lists the same sequence under 4 other names. Lineage: Eukaryota; Metazoa; Hemichordata; Enteropneusta.
AUGCAUGUCUAAGUACGAGCCCCCGUACAAAGCGAAACUGCGAAUGGCUCAUUAAAUCAGUUAUGGUUCCUUUGAUCGUUACCCCUUACUUGGAUAACUGUGGUAAUUCUAGAGCUAAUACAUGCGAAACAACGCUGACCUCGCGGGAUGCGUGCUUUUAUUAGGACCAAGACCAAUCCGGGUCUUCGUGGCCCGGUCCCACUGGCGAACUCUGGAUAACUUGGCGGAUCGCACGGCCUCGGCGCCGGCGACGACUCUUUCGAGUGUCUGCCCUAUCAACUUUCGAUGGUACGUUAUGCGCCUACCAUGGUUGUAACGGGUAACGGGGAAUCAGGGUUCGAUUCCGGAGAGGGAGCCUGAGAAACGGCUACCACA